This 253-nucleotide ribosomal RNA is filed under the name uncultured bacterium. Its description in RNAcentral is "partial 16S ribosomal RNA". It matches the Rfam family "Bacterial small subunit ribosomal RNA", at positions 524 to 776 of the family's 1533-position model. The record is from RNAcentral.
UACGAGAUGUGCGAGCGUUAUCCGGAUUUAUUGGGUUUAAAGGGUGCGUAGGUGGGGAAUUAAGUCAGUGGUGAAAGUUUGUCGCUCAACGAUAAAAUUGCCAUUGAAACUGGUUUCCUUGAGUAUGUUUGAGGUAGGCGGAAUGCGUGGUGUAGCGGUGAAAUGCAUAGAUAUCACGCAGAACUCCAAUUGCGAAGGCAGCUUACUAAACCAUAACUGACACUGAAGCACGAAAGCGUGGGUAUCAAACAGG